This is a long non-coding RNA of Alosa alosa (allis shad), 1145 nucleotides long. RefSeq lists it as uncharacterized. Lineage: Eukaryota; Metazoa; Chordata; Actinopteri; Clupeiformes; Clupeidae. The record is from RefSeq and is a predicted model, not a curated record. The transcript has 2 exons.
GGCCCUCCUCUUCUAUCGCAGUUUGGAAAACAACACAGAACACUCCAGCAUCUCUUCUGUUGUAUUCUCUUAUAUUCUUUGACAGUUUUGCUACUAGGGUUCUUGUCAUGUUUUCAAAGUGACAGAUCGUAUAUCUUUGGACAACAACAAACAGCAGACCUGUGAGACCGUCCACCAUGCCAGCGCAACGAAGAACCAUGACAGGGUCUAACAGCCGUGCCUUUAAACAAGGAAGUAGGAGUCUCCUCGGCAGACGAAUGGCUGCUAAUAUAACGCAUUUAAAGGAAGAGCAUACAUCCUCCCUGCUUUAAUCAUGGAGAAAACCCCAGGCCUCAAAUUAAAUUGUGAUAUCGGAGAGGACAGCCUUACUGAUGGAAUUUCAGAGUCCAUUAACGCAAAACCAAUCACUGGGAUGGGCCAGACCCUCCCCGAUCAAAAUUCAAAACAGCGAGGGGGUAUCAUCAGCCGUGUGCAUUAAGAGCGUUAUUGAACCAGGACAAUGCUGGAGAGGAGGAUGAGGAAGAGGAGGAGGAAGAGGAGGAGGAGUGGUACGGGGGAAGAAAAGAAACAGCAGCAAAAAGCAGAGAAAAUCAAUGCCUGGGUCCCAGCGGACUGGUGGCGGUACUGUGGGAGGCGCGACCAGCAGAGCCAAGGCCAGCCCAGACAAACUCCGCCCGUGAUGGAUGAGGCGGAGGAGAAUGCCGUCUACCUAUAUGCAGCCAUGCACCAAAUAAAACCCAGGAAUGCAUUCCUGUAAAUGGACCGCAGCUCUUCUCUGCCAAACGCAUUAGAGCUGUUAAAAUCCACAUCACUCAUGUUAGUUACCGGAGACAGUCUCAUAGUGUGAGAACUGUGUGAACCGGAGAGGGUUUUAACACAGACAUAAAGCCCUAUACAUUUCAGCUUCAAAGUAGUUAAAGCUAACUGUAAGGAGGGUGAUAGAUGGUCUCCCCCCUCCACACACACACAGACACACACACACACAUACGGUUUAAUUUCCAGUCACCUUUGUUCUGUACGACUGCACAGGAAGAGCAAAUAUGUACCAAACAAUAAAUAAUGAACCAGUGAAUUCAUGUUUCAGAUGCAAAUACAGGUUGUCCAUGCAGACUUCUCAUUAAAAACCUGUGUACUGUUUAAUAAUU